RNAcentral lists this transfer RNA (65 nucleotides) under Zoodes fulguratus. Its description in RNAcentral is "tRNA-Tyr". Lineage: Eukaryota; Metazoa; Arthropoda; Insecta; Coleoptera; Cerambycidae. The record is from RNAcentral.
GGUAGGAUGGCUGAGUUUAGGCAAUAAAUUGUAAAUUUAUUUACGAAAAAUUUUUUCUUCUACCA